This 1539-nucleotide ribosomal RNA is filed under the name Staphylococcus aureus. RNAcentral describes it as "16S ribosomal RNA". It matches the Rfam family "Bacterial small subunit ribosomal RNA". RNAcentral also lists the same sequence under 1 other name. Lineage: Bacteria; Bacillati; Bacillota; Bacilli; Caryophanales; Staphylococcaceae. The record is from RNAcentral.
AGAGUUUGAUCCUGGCUCAGGAUGAACGCUGGCGGCGUGCCUAAUACAUGCAAGUCGAGCGAACGGACGAGAAGCUUGCUUCUCUGAUGUUAGCGGCGGACGGGUGAGUAACACGUGGAUAACCUACCUAUAAGACUGGGAUAACUUCGGGAAACCGGAGCUAAUACCGGAUAAUAUUUUGAACCGCAUGGUUCAAAAGUGAAAGACGGUCUUGCUGUCACUUAUAGAUGGAUCCGCGCUGCAUUAGCUAGUUGGUAAGGUAACGGCUUACCAAGGCAACGAUGCAUAGCCGACCUGAGAGGGUGAUCGGCCACACUGGAACUGAGACACGGUCCAGACUCCUACGGGAGGCAGCAGUAGGGAAUCUUCCGCAAUGGGCGAAAGCCUGACGGAGCAACGCCGCGUGAGUGAUGAAGGUCUUCGGAUCGUAAAACUCUGUUAUUAGGGAAGAACAUAUGUGUAAGUAACUGUGCACAUCUUGACGGUACCUAAUCAGAAAGCCACGGCUAACUACGUGCCAGCAGCCGCGGUAAUACGUAGGUGGCAAGCGUUAUCCGGAAUUAUUGGGCGUAAAGCGCGCGUAGGCGGUUUUUUAAGUCUGAUGUGAAAGCCCACGGCUCAACCGUGGAGGGUCAUUGGAAACUGGAAAACUUGAGUGCAGAAGAGGAAAGUGGAAUUCCAUGUGUAGCGGUGAAAUGCGCAGAGAUAUGGAGGAACACCAGUGGCGAAGGCGACUUUCUGGUCUGUAACUGACGCUGAUGUGCGAAAGCGUGGGGAUCAAACAGGAUUAGAUACCCUGGUAGUCCACGCCGUAAACGAUGAGUGCUAAGUGUUAGGGGUUUCCGCCCCUUAGUGCUGCAGCUAACGCAUUAAGCACUCCGCCUGGGGAGUACGACCGCAAGGUUGAAACUCAAAGGAAUUGACGGGGACCCGCACAAGCGGUGGAGCAUGUGGUUUAAUUCGAAGCAACGCGAAGAACCUUACCAAAUCUUGACAUCCUUUGACAACUCUAGAGAUAGAGCCUUCCCCUUCGGGGGACAAAGUGACAGGUGGUGCAUGGUUGUCGUCAGCUCGUGUCGUGAGAUGUUGGGUUAAGUCCCGCAACGAGCGCAACCCUUAAGCUUAGUUGCCAUCAUUAAGUUGGGCACUCUAAGUUGACUGCCGGUGACAAACCGGAGGAAGGUGGGGAUGACGUCAAAUCAUCAUGCCCCUUAUGAUUUGGGCUACACACGUGCUACAAUGGACAAUACAAAGGGCAGCGAAACCGCGAGGUCAAGCAAAUCCCAUAAAGUUGUUCUCAGUUCGGAUUGUAGUCUGCAACUCGACUACAUGAAGCUGGAAUCGCUAGUAAUCGUAGAUCAGCAUGCUACGGUGAAUACGUUCCCGGGUCUUGUACACACCGCCCGUCACACCACGAGAGUUUGUAACACCCGAAGCCGGUGGAGUAACCUUUUAGGAGCUAGCCGUCGAAGGUGGGACAAAUGAUUGGGGUGAAGUCGUAACAAGGUAGCCGUAUCGGAAGGUGCGGCUGGAUCACCU